CCUAUGGGGUGCAGCAGGCGCGAAACCUCCGCAAUGCGAGCAAUCGCGACGGGGGGACCCCAAGUGCCACUCUUAACGGGGUGGCUUUUCAUAAGUGUAAAAAGCUUUUGGAAUAAGAGCUGGGCAAGACCGGUGCCAGCCGCCGCGGUAACACUGGCAGCUCAAGUGGUGGCCGUUUUUAUUGGGCCUAAAGCGUUCGUAGCCGGUUUGAUAAGUCUCUGGUGAAAUCCUACAGCUUAACUGUGGGAAUUGCUGGAGAUACUAUCAGACUUGAGGUCGGGAGAGGUUAGAGGAACUCCCAGGGUAGGGGUGAAAUCCUAUAAUCCUGGGAGGACCACCUGUGGCGAAGGCGUCUAACUGGAACGAACCUGACGGUGAGUAACGAAAGCCAGGGGCGCGAACCGGAUUAGAUACCCCUGUAGUCC
Molecule: ribosomal RNA, 425 nt
Filed under: uncultured Methanobacterium sp.
Lineage: Archaea; Methanobacteriati; Methanobacteriota; Methanobacteria; Methanobacteriales; Methanobacteriaceae
Description: bacterial SSU rRNA
Rfam family: Archaeal small subunit ribosomal RNA
Source: RNAcentral